RNAcentral lists this ribosomal RNA (409 nucleotides) under uncultured bacterium. RNAcentral's name for it is "bacterial SSU rRNA". It matches the Rfam family "Bacterial small subunit ribosomal RNA", at positions 355 to 776 of the family's 1533-position model. The record is from RNAcentral.
AGGGGAAUAUUGCACAAUGGGCGAAAGCCUGAUGCAGCGACGCCGCGUGAGGGAUGACGGCCUUCGGGUUGUAAACCUCUUUCAGCAGGGAAGAAGCGAAAGUGACGGUACCUGCAGAAGAAGCGCCGGCUAACUACGUGCCAGCAGCCGCGGUAAUACGUAGGGCGCAAGCGUUGUCCGGAAUUAUUGGGCGUAAAGAGCUCGUAGGCGGUUUGUCGCGUCUGCUGUGAAAGCCCGGGGCUCAACCCCGGGUCUGCAGUGGGUACGGGCAGACUAGAGUGCAGUAGGGGAGACUGGAAUUCCUGGUGUAGCGGUGAAAUGCGCAGAUAUCAGGAGGAACACCGAUGGCGAAGGCAGGUCUCUGGGCUGUAACUGACGCUGAGGAGCGAAAGCAUGGGGAGCGAACAGG